GACGAACGCUGGCGGCGUGCCUAAUACAUGCAAGUGGGACGCAAGGGAACACGCUGUGCUUGCACACCGUGUUUUCUUGAGUCGCGAACGGGUGAGUAACGCGUAGGUAACCUGCCUAUUAGCGGGGGAUAACUAUUGGAAACGAUAGCUAAUACCGCAUAAUAUUAAUUAUUGCAUGAUAAUUGAUUGAAAGAUGCAAGCGCAUCACUAGUAGAUGGACCUGCGUUGUAUUAGCUAGUUGGUAAGGUAAGAGCUUACCAAGGCGACGAUACAUAGCCGACCUGAGAGGGUGAUCGGCCACACUGGGACUGAGACACGGCCCAGACUCCUACGGGAGGCAGCAGUAGGGAAUCUUCGGCAAUGGACGAAAGUCUGACCGAGCAACGCCGCGUGAGUGAAGAAGGUUUUCGGAUCGUAAAGCUCUGUUGUAAGUCAAGAACGUGUGUGAGAGUGGAAA
RNAcentral lists this ribosomal RNA (457 nucleotides) under Streptococcus mutans. Its description in RNAcentral is "bacterial SSU rRNA". It matches the Rfam family "Bacterial small subunit ribosomal RNA", at positions 28 to 464 of the family's 1533-position model. The record is from RNAcentral. Lineage: Bacteria; Bacillati; Bacillota; Bacilli; Lactobacillales; Streptococcaceae.